This 256-nucleotide ribosomal RNA is filed under the name Astronia cf. cumingiana var. cumingiana Fernando 2550. RNAcentral describes it as "partial 26S ribosomal RNA". The stretch from base 35 to 256 matches the Rfam family "Eukaryotic large subunit ribosomal RNA", at positions 1 to 222 of the family's 3401-position model. Lineage: Eukaryota; Viridiplantae; Streptophyta; Magnoliopsida; Myrtales; Melastomataceae. The record is from RNAcentral. RNAcentral also lists the same sequence under 11 other names.
GCUGCGGGCUCCGGACUUUGACAAUCCCCGAGUGCGAUCCCAGGUCAGGCGGGGCUACCCGCUGAGUUUAAGCAUAUCAAUAAGCGGAGGAAAAGAAACUAACGAGGAUUCCCUUAGUAGCGGCGAGCGAAUCGGGAAGAGCCCAGCAUGAAAAUCGUCCGUCAUCGGCGGCCGAAUUGUAGUCUGGAGAAGCGUCCUCAGUGACGGACCGGACCCAAGUUCACUGGAAGGUGGCGCCGGAGAGGGUGAGAGCCCC